RNAcentral lists this ribosomal RNA (393 nucleotides) under uncultured bacterium. Its description in RNAcentral is "partial 16S ribosomal RNA". It matches the Rfam family "Bacterial small subunit ribosomal RNA", at positions 523 to 918 of the family's 1533-position model. The record is from RNAcentral.
AUACAGAGGGUGCAAGCGUUAUCCGGAUUUAUUGGGUUUAAAGGGUGCGUAGGCUGUGCGUUAAGUCAGGGGUGAAAUGCCGUCGCUCAACGACGGAGCUGCCCUUGAUACUGGCGUGCUGGAGUACGGAUGCCGUUGGAGGAAUGAGUGGUGUAGCGGUGAAAUGCUUAGAUAUCACUCAGAACACCGAUUGCGAAGGCAUCUGACGAAUCCGUCACUGACGCUGAGGCACGAAAGCGUGGGGAUAGAACAGGAUUAGAUACCCUGGUAUUCCACGCCGUAAACGAUGAUGACUAACCGUCGGCGAUAGACAGCCGGUGGCCAAGCGAAAGCGAUAAGUCAUCCACCUGGGGAGUACGUCGGCAACGAUGAAACUCAAAUGAAUUGACGGGG